RNAcentral lists this ribosomal RNA (451 nucleotides) under uncultured Leptolinea sp. RNAcentral describes it as "bacterial SSU rRNA". It matches the Rfam family "Bacterial small subunit ribosomal RNA", at positions 918 to 1382 of the family's 1533-position model. The record is from RNAcentral. Lineage: Bacteria; Bacillati; Chloroflexota; Anaerolineae; Anaerolineales; Anaerolineaceae.
GGCCCGCACAAGCAGCGGAGCGUGUGGUUUAAUUCGAUGUUACACGAAGAACCUUACCAGGGUUUGACAUGCAAGUGGUAGGAAGCCGAAAGGUGACCGACCCUUCGGGGAGCUUGCACAGGUGCUGCAUGGCUGUCGUCAGCUCGUGUCGUGAGAUGUUCGGUUAAGUCCGCUAACGAGCGCAACCCUCGCUGUGUGUUAUAUGUGUCACACGGGACUGCCGGUCUUAAGCCGGAGGAAGGUGGGGAUGAUGUCAAGUCAGCAUGGCCUUUAUAUCCUGGGCUACACACACGCUACAAUGGCCAACACAAUAGGUUGCUAAGCCGCGAGGUGGCGCCAAUCCAUAAAGUUGGUCUCAGUUCAGAUUGUAGGCUGCAACCCGCCUGCAUGAAGAUGGAGUUGCUAGUAACCGCAGGUCAGCUAUACUGCGGUGAAUACGUUCCCGGGGCUU